UGUGCAGGCGGUUCGGUAAGUUGGAUGUGAAAUCUCCUGGCUCAACUGGGAGAGGUCGUUCAAGACUGUCGGACUAGAGGGCGGUAGAGGGAGGUGGAAUUCCCGGUGUAGUGGUGAAAUGCGUAGAUAUCGGGAGGAACACCUGUGGCGAAAGCGGCCUCCUGGACCGCACCUGACGCUCAGACACGAAAGCUAGGGGAGCAAACGGGAUUAGAAACCCCGGUAGUCCUAGCUGUAAACGAUGUGGACUAGGUGUUGGUGGGGUAAAAGCCAUCGGUGCCGAAGCAAACGCGGUAAGUCCACCGCCUGGGGACUACGGCCGCAAGGUUAAA
This 332-nucleotide ribosomal RNA is filed under the name uncultured bacterium. RNAcentral's name for it is "bacterial SSU rRNA". It matches the Rfam family "Bacterial small subunit ribosomal RNA", at positions 568 to 898 of the family's 1533-position model. The record is from RNAcentral.